RNAcentral lists this ribosomal RNA (465 nucleotides) under uncultured bacterium. RNAcentral's name for it is "partial 16S ribosomal RNA". It matches the Rfam family "Bacterial small subunit ribosomal RNA", at positions 338 to 795 of the family's 1533-position model. The record is from RNAcentral.
CCUACGGGAGGCAGCAGUGGGGAAUUUUGGACAAUGGGCGCAAGCCUGAUCCAGCUAUUCCGCGUGUGGGAUGACGGCCCUCGGGUUGUAAACCACUUUUGUAGAGAACGAAAAGACACCUUCGCAUAAACGGUGUUGCUGACGGUACUCUAAGAAUACGCACCGGCUAACUACGUGCCAGCAGCCGCGUUAAUACGUAGGGUGCGAGAGGCAAUCGGAAUUUCUGGGCGUCAAGGGUGCGCAGGCGGUUGAGUAAGACAGAUGUGAAAUCCCCGAGCUUAACUCGGGAAGGACAUAUGUGACUGCUCGACUAGAGGGUGUCAGAGGGAGGGGGAAUUCCACGUGUAGCAGUGAAAUGCGUAGAUAUGUGGAAGAACACCGAUGGCGAAGGCAGCCUCCUGGGACAUAACUGACGCUCAGGCACGAAAGCGUGGGGAGCAAACAGGAUUAGAUACCCGUGUAGUC